GUGCUCGCUUCGGCAGCACUUAUACUAAAAAUUGGAACGAUACAGAGAAAAUUAGCAUGGCCCCUGUGCAAGGAUGACAUGCAAAUUCGUGAAACAUUCUAUAUUUUU
RNAcentral lists this small nuclear RNA (108 nucleotides) under Propithecus coquereli (Coquerel's sifaka). The record is from RNAcentral. Lineage: Eukaryota; Metazoa; Chordata; Mammalia; Primates; Indriidae.